GAAAACACUGAUUCGUUCAAGAACGGAACACCACCUGCUGUGGCUUUCCUCUGCAGAGUGGAAACAGACAAGGCUGCGGAGAGACCGGCGAGACUGGAAUACUGCAGCCUGCUGGGAAAACAUCACUGGUCCACUUCCUCACCCUUAAAC
Molecule: long non-coding RNA, 150 nt
Organism: Sinocyclocheilus anshuiensis
Lineage: Eukaryota; Metazoa; Chordata; Actinopteri; Cypriniformes; Cyprinidae
Exons: 3
Source: RefSeq, a predicted model, not a curated record